AUGUUUUUCUUUCCCCCAGGCUUGCCUGGUUGCCUGUAUGCCCAUGGAGGGAGAGGCAGUGAGUUGAAGUGGGAACGGAGGUUCCUGCUUCUCAGAGAAGAUUCCUGGGUCUUACUGCAGAUAUAUUUAGUGAUGUUAAGAAAGUAUCGGGCUUCCCCCGUGGCUCAGCGGUACAGAAUCCGCCUGCAAUGCGGGAGAUGUGGUUCGAUCCCUGGGGAGAUCCCCUGGAGAAGAGAAUGGCAACCCACUCCAGUGUUCUUGCCUGGAGAAUCCCACGGACAGAGGAGCCCAGCGGGCUAGAGUCCAUAGCGUUUGCAGAGUCGGACACGACUGAAUGACUGAACACACAAGAAAAUAUCAGAUAUUUGGGGCCUGUGGGUGAAUCACAUAGUGUGUUUAUAUAUAUUGCAAUGGUAAAAGCAAAGAAUUUCCUUUUAUCAAAUAAUGGCACCAUGCCAAGUAUUUUCACUCACGUGAUCUCAGCCGUCUUGUCGGAAAGGCAGCCAUCCGUCCCGUUUACACUAAAGGAAACUGAGGGUCUGAGAGAUGAAGCAACUUGCCCCAAGACCUUACAACCAGGAAGUGGCCUGGCUCACUCCAGGCCCUCCUGCCGCCCUCGGUCGUGGGGCCUCGCCCUGCCCUCCACCACGGCCCCCUCUGAGGAACCUCAACCCCACAGGCUGUCCCCACAGCAGGUGGUGUGCUGAGGAAACCCUCAAGUCCACCGCAAACACCUCUAGUGAAGGCCAGACGUUUGCUUGGUUUGUAAUAGUUGCCUCCACUAAACUCAUUUGGCCUUUGCGACACGUACCACAUGCAUUUGAAUUUUAGCGCUUGGGGACAGGUAGUCCACAGCUUAGCACUCUGCAGGUGAGGUUUUCUAAAGCAGGGGUCCUUACCCUGCAGGAUCUAAUGCCUGAUGGUCUGAGGUGGAGCUGAUGUGAUAAUAAUAAAGUACGCAGUACGCAGUAAAUGUGAUGCACUUGAAUCAUCCGGAAACCAACCACACCCCUGCCCUACUCCACCCCACUCCUGUCCGUGGAAAAAUUGUUUUCCACGAAACCAGUUCCUGGUGCCAAAGAGCUUGGGGACUGUUCCUCUAAAGGGCCUCAGUGUCAUCCUUUAUGAUCCAGAUCAGAGGAAACUGGUCUGCACUCUGGGCUGAAACAGC
Molecule: long non-coding RNA, 1171 nt
Filed under: Cervus hanglu yarkandensis (Yarkand deer)
Lineage: Eukaryota; Metazoa; Chordata; Mammalia; Artiodactyla; Cervidae
Description: lncRNA (ENSCHYG00000014391.1)
Source: RNAcentral